This 496-nucleotide ribosomal RNA is filed under the name uncultured bacterium. Its description in RNAcentral is "partial 16S ribosomal RNA". It matches the Rfam family "Bacterial small subunit ribosomal RNA", at positions 29 to 507 of the family's 1533-position model. The record is from RNAcentral.
AUGCACGCUGGCGGCGUGCCUCAUACCUGCCAGUCGAGCGAACAGACGAGGAGCUUGCUCCUCUGACGUUAGCGGCGGACGGGUGAGUAACACGUGGAUAACCUACCUAUAAGACUGGGAUAACUUCGGGAAACCGGAGCUAAUACCGGAUAACAUGUUGAACCGCAUGGUUCAACAGUGAAAGACGGUCUUGCUGUCACUUAUAGAUGGAUCCGCGCCGCAUUAGCUAGUUGGUAAGGUAACGGCUUACCAAGGCAACGAUGCGUAGCCGACCUGAGAGGGUGAUCGGCCACACUGGAACUGAGACACGGUCCAGACUCCUACGGGAGGCAGCAGUAGGGAAUCUUCCGCAAUGGGCGAAAGCCUGACGGAGCAACGCCGCGUGAGUGAAGAAGGUCUUCGGAUCGUAAAACUCUGUUAUUAGGGAAGAACAAAUGUGUAAGUAACUAUGCACGUCUUGACGGUACCUAAUCAGAAAGCCACGGCUAACUACGUG